CCUACGGGUGGCAGCAGUGAGGAAUAUUGGUCAAUGGGCGCGAGCCUGAUCCAGCCAAGUAGCGUGAAGGAUGACUGCCCUCCGGGUUGUAAGCUUCUUUUAUAAGGGAGUAAAGUGAGGCACGUUUGCCUUUUUGUAUGUACUUUAUAAAUAAGGAUCGGCUAACUCCGUGCCAGCAGCCGCGGUAAUACGGAGGAUCCGAGCGUUAUCCGGAUUUAGUGGGUUUAAAGGGAGCGUAGAUGGGUUGUUAAGUCAGUUGUGAAAGUUUGCGGCUCAACCGUAAAAUUGCAAUUGAUACUGGCAGUCUUGAGUACAGUUGAGGUAGGCGGAAUUCGUGGUGUAGCGGUGAAAUGCUUAGAUAUCACGAAGAACUCCGAUUGCGAAGGCAGCUUACUAAACUGCCACUGACAUUGAUGCUCGAAAGUGUGGGUAUCAAACAGGAUUAGAUACCCGAGUAGUC
RNAcentral lists this ribosomal RNA (460 nucleotides) under uncultured bacterium. RNAcentral's name for it is "partial 16S ribosomal RNA". It matches the Rfam family "Bacterial small subunit ribosomal RNA", at positions 338 to 795 of the family's 1533-position model. The record is from RNAcentral.